This 267-nucleotide ribosomal RNA is filed under the name uncultured bacterium. Its description in RNAcentral is "partial 16S ribosomal RNA". It matches the Rfam family "Bacterial small subunit ribosomal RNA", at positions 123 to 406 of the family's 1533-position model. The record is from RNAcentral.
AAUCUGCCCCUUGGUUCGGAAUAACAGCUAGAAAUGACUGCUAAUACCGGAUGACGUCUUCGGACCAAAGAUUUAUCGCCAAGGGAUGAGCCCGCGUAGGAUUAGCUAGUUGGUGAGGUAAAAGCUCACCAAGGCGACGAUCCUUAGCUGGUCUGAGAGGAUGAUCAGCCACACUGGGACUGAGACACGGCCCAGACUCCUGCGGGAGGCAGCAGUGGGGAAUAUUGGACAAUGGGCGAAAGCCUGAUCCAGCAAUGCCGCGUGAGU